This 362-nucleotide unclassified non-coding RNA is filed under the name Hevea brasiliensis (rubber tree). The record is from RNAcentral. Lineage: Eukaryota; Viridiplantae; Streptophyta; Magnoliopsida; Malpighiales; Euphorbiaceae.
GCAACCAAAAAACCACAUUAAAGAAAAACAGGACAUUUUCAAAGAACACUAACUCAACAUGGGCCACUAACAACUAACUGAACAUGAUUCAUUCACUGUUGAAUCUAACAUGACUUGGAUCAAAUGGGGUGCCACUCUUUGUGAACUCCAUACAAUCAUGAACUUCAUGUACUCCUCCAUUACCAAGGUUUUGCUUAACCGCUUGCAAUACAAUUGCUUGAUUUGGACUUGCAUGGUCUUUGUGUUUAUUGUUGUUAUAAUCGUACGAUUCUUGAUUCAAAUCAUAUGAUUUGAGUCAAUUCCCCUGCCUAGCGAUUCGAAUCCAUAGGCUGAAUCACAAAUAUACAUGAAGUGGUACCAAA